RNAcentral lists this ribosomal RNA (502 nucleotides) under uncultured bacterium. RNAcentral describes it as "partial 16S ribosomal RNA". It matches the Rfam family "Bacterial small subunit ribosomal RNA", at positions 30 to 523 of the family's 1533-position model. The record is from RNAcentral.
AUUGAACGCUGGCGGCAGGCUUAACACAUGCAAGUCGAGCGGGGAUAGGGUGCUUGCACCUGAUUCCUAGCGGCGGACGGGUGAGUAAUGCUUAGGAAUCUGCCUAUUAGUGGGGGACAACGUUCCGAAAGGGACGCUAAUACCGCAUACGUCCUACGGGAGAAAGCAGGGGAUCUUCGGACCUUGCGCUAAUAGAUGAGCCUAAGUCGGAUUAGCUAGUUGGGGGGGUAAAGGCCUACCAAGGCGACGAUCUGUAGCGGGUCUGAGAGGAUGAUCCGCCACACUGGGACUGAGACACGGCCCAGACUCCUACGGGAGGCAGCAGUGGGGAAUAUUGGACAAUGGGGGGAACCCUGAUCCAGCCAUGCCGCGUGUGUGAAGAAGGCCUUUUGGUUGUAAAGCACUUUAAGCGAGGAGGAGGCUUACCUGGUUAAUACCCGGGAUAAGUGGACGUUACUCGCAGAAUAAGCACCGGCUAACUCUGUGCCAGCCGCCGCAGUAA